This 942-nucleotide non-coding RNA is filed under the name Cyprinus carpio (common carp). RNAcentral's name for it is "partial small subunit ribosomal RNA". It matches the Rfam family "Bacterial small subunit ribosomal RNA". Lineage: Eukaryota; Metazoa; Chordata; Actinopteri; Cypriniformes; Cyprinidae. The record is from RNAcentral.
CCCGACCUUAUUAUCAGCUCUAACUCAACUUACACAUGCAAGUCUCCGCAACCCAGUGAAUAUGCCCUCAAUCCCCCCACCCGGGGACGAGGAGCGGGCAUCAGGCACAAACAUUAGCCCAAGACGCCUAGCCAAGCCACACCCCCAAGGGAAUUCAGCAGUGAUAAACAUUAAGCCAUAAGUGAAAACUUGACUCAGUUAGUGUUAAGAGGGCCGGUAAAACUCGUGCCAGCCACCGCGGUUAGACGAGAGGCCCUAGUUGAUAUUACAACGGCGUAAAGGGUGGUUAAGGAUAAACAAAAAUAAAGUCAAAUGGCCCCUUGGCCGUCAUACGCUUCUAGGAGUCCGAAGCCCUAAUACGAAAGUAACUUUAAUAAACCCACCUGACCCCACGAAAGCUGAGAAACAAACUGGGAUUAGAUACCCCACUAUGCUCAGCCGUAAACUCAGACAUCCAGCUACAAUUAGAUGUCCGCCAGGGUACUACGAGCAUUAGCUUAAAACCCAAAGGACCUGACGGUGUCUCAGACCCCCCUAGAGGAGCCUGUUCUAGAACCGAUAACCCCCGUUCAACCUCACCACUUCUAGCCACCCCAGCCUAUAUACCGCCGUCGUCAGCUUACCCUGUGAAGGUAAUAAAAGUAAGCAAAAUGGGCACAACCCAAAACGUCAGGUCGAGGUGUAGCGCAUGAAGUGGGAAGAAAUGGGCUACAUUUUCUAAUAUAGAAUAUUACGAACAUGCACCAUGAAACAAUGCUUGAAGGAGGAUUUAGUAGUAAAAGGGAAAUAGAGUGUCCCUUUGAACCCGGCUCUGAGACGCGUACACACCGCCCGUCACUCUCCCCUGUCAAAACGCACCAAAAAUACAUAAUACAACAGCACUGACAAGGGGAGGCAAGUCGUAACACGGUAAGUGUACCGGAAGGUGCACUUGGAUCAAAC